GGGAUACACCUGUCAAACAGUAACGCAGGUGUCCUAAGGCGAACUCAGGGAGGACCGAAACCUCCCAUGGAGCAGAAGGGCAAAAGCUCGCUUGAUCUUGAAUGG
This 105-nucleotide non-coding RNA is filed under the name Callithrix jacchus (white-tufted-ear marmoset). RNAcentral describes it as "Eukaryotic large subunit ribosomal RNA". It matches the Rfam family "Eukaryotic large subunit ribosomal RNA", at positions 2630 to 2734 of the family's 3401-position model. The record is from Rfam by way of RNAcentral. Lineage: Eukaryota; Metazoa; Chordata; Mammalia; Primates; Cebidae.